GGGGAUUUAGCUCAGUGGCAUAGCGCCUGCCUUGCAAGCAGGUAGCCAUGAGUUCAAUCUCCG
RNAcentral lists this transfer RNA (63 nucleotides) under Cavia porcellus (domestic guinea pig). It matches the Rfam family "tRNA". Rfam says of the family: Transfer RNA (tRNA) molecules are approximately 80 nucleotides in length. Their secondary structure includes four short double-helical elements and three loops (D, anti-codon, and T loops). Lineage: Eukaryota; Metazoa; Chordata; Mammalia; Rodentia; Caviidae. The record is from Rfam by way of RNAcentral.